This 822-nucleotide non-coding RNA is filed under the name Orisarma sinense. Lineage: Eukaryota; Metazoa; Arthropoda; Malacostraca; Decapoda; Sesarmidae. The record is from RNAcentral.
AAAAUGUUUAAUUUUGGCUUGAAUUUUUACGUUUUUAUUAAAAUUGCAUGAAAAUUAUUAGUAUGUAUAAGUAUAUUUAAUUUUAUAUUAAAUAUUUUUUUGAAUAAAUAUAAUUAUGAAAUUAUAUAGUCUCAGCAUAAAUUAUUAAUAUUUAUAUACGAAAGUAUGAAUUAGUAAUAAUAAUUAAAUCUGAUAAAUAUUUGUGCCAGCAUUCGCGGUUAUACUUUAAGAUUAAGUAAAAAAGAUUAGCGUUUAGUUAAAUGAAAAUUUUAUAGAUGUUAUAAAUAAUAAAAGGUAAAAUUUAAUUGUUAUUUUAUAUUACAUUAGUGAUUGUAAUUGAAGCUAAAAAAUCUAAUUAUAAACUAGGAUUAGAUACCCUAUUAUUUUAGGAAAAAAUAUAAAGCUAGAUUAGUAUUAGUUAAAUACUUAAAAAUUAAAAGAUUUGGCGGUGAUUUAAUCUUUUCAGAGGAAUUUGUUUUUUAAUCGAUAAACCACGAAGAAUCUUACUUGUUUUUGUUAAAUAAUCAGUUUGUAUACCAUCAUUAUCAGAUAAUUCUAAAAAGAAAAAUUAUCAAAUUUAAAUAUUUAUUAAAAUUAGAUCAUGGUGCAGCUUAUAAACAAGGUAAAAUGAAUUACAAUAAAUUGUUUUAUAAUGAAUUAAUAAGAUAAUUCUUAUUAUGAAGGAGGAUUUGAUGGUAUUAUAAAUUUAAUAAGUUUAUAGGAUAAAGGCUCUAAAUCAUGUACAUAUCGCCCGUCGCUUUCAUUUAUAAAUGAAAUAAGUCGUAACAUAGUAGAUGUACUGGAAAGUGUAUCUAGAAUUAU